This 424-nucleotide ribosomal RNA is filed under the name uncultured prokaryote. Its description in RNAcentral is "bacterial SSU rRNA". It matches the Rfam family "Bacterial small subunit ribosomal RNA", at positions 355 to 796 of the family's 1533-position model. The record is from RNAcentral.
UGGGGAAUCUUGGACAAUGGGGGAAACCCUGAUCCAGCCAUGCCGCGUGAGCGAUGACGGCCUUAGGGUUGUAAAGCUCUUUCACCGGUGACGAUAAUGACGGUAGCCGGAGAAGAAGCCCCGGCUAACUCCGUGCCAGCAGCCGCGGUAAUACGGAGGAUGCAAGCGUUAUCCGGAAUUAUUGGGCGUAAAGCGUCCGUAGGCGGUUCAUCAAGUCAGUUGUUAAAGACUGCAGCUCAACUGUGGGCGAGCACCUGAAACUGAUGAACUAGAGUGCGGUAGGGGUAGAGGGAAUUCCCAGUGUAGCGGUGAAAUGCGUAGAUAUUGGGAAGAACACCAGUGGCGAAGGCGCUCUACUGGGCCGCAACUGACGCUGAGGGACGAAAGCUAGGGGAGCGAAAGGGAUUAGAUACCCCUGUAGUCC